UCUCCAUAUCUUCGCCUAGCUUCCUUUUAUCUUCGGCGUCUCUCUCACGCACGCACGCACGCACACCCGCUGCAGUGGAGUUGUCUGUGUCAUUCUUCGCUUCGUGGCGUGAUGAUAGACGCGUGCGCGACCUCCCUUUAUCUGUUGUAGUUUUGAUCGUGACUCUGCCUUCAAAAAAAA
RNAcentral lists this unclassified non-coding RNA (180 nucleotides) under Leishmania donovani. RNAcentral describes it as "gene:unknown". Lineage: Eukaryota; Euglenozoa; Kinetoplastea; Trypanosomatida; Trypanosomatidae. The record is from RNAcentral.